This 253-nucleotide ribosomal RNA is filed under the name uncultured bacterium. Its description in RNAcentral is "partial 16S ribosomal RNA". It matches the Rfam family "Bacterial small subunit ribosomal RNA", at positions 524 to 776 of the family's 1533-position model. The record is from RNAcentral.
UACGGGGGGGGCAAGCGUUGUUCGGAAUUACUGGGCGUAAAGCGCACGUAGGCGGCUUUGUAAGUUAGAGGUGAAAGCCCGGGGCUCAACUCCGGAACUGCCUUUAAGACUGCAUCGCUUGAAUCCAGGAGAGGUGAGUGGAAUUCCGAGUGUAGAGGUGAAAUUCGUAGAUAUUCGGAAGAACACCAGUGGCGAAGGCGGCUCACUGGUCCGGUACUGACGCUGAGGUGCGAAAGCGUGGGGAGCAAACAGG